RNAcentral lists this small RNA (601 nucleotides) under Arabidopsis thaliana (thale cress). RNAcentral's name for it is "ATSL260820". Lineage: Eukaryota; Viridiplantae; Streptophyta; Magnoliopsida; Brassicales; Brassicaceae. The record is from RNAcentral.
AUAUAAAAAACAUGAACCAGCUAUAAAUAACAUGCAAAAUAUGAACAAACCUCUUGUUUCUUUUAAAAACACUAGACGGACGAAGCAGAAUCCACAGAGUUUGAGGAAAUUCCCAGAUCUCGCCUUAUCUAACUUCAUGUAGAGAGAUUAUGAAAAAAUUGAGGGUUAGUAGAGAAUAAAUAAAAAAAAAUCAAAACUUAGAUCUGGACACAAACGGUGAGAACCCUAUGCAGGAUACUUAUGUAAGUAUACAUGGGAAGACAUAGAAGAAGAUAGAGAUAGAGGGGAAAAAGAACCAAACUUUAGAUCUGGCCACAAUCGUUAAUUUCUAUGCAAUUGAAGUAUAAAGAGGAAGAAAUAGAAGAAGAUCGGCAAUAAAUAAACGAAAAUCAAUGGCUUACCUUACCAGAUUCGUCGGCAAGGGGAGGAUCAGAAAUUAAUACUUGGAUUGCUAACGGCGACAAGAACGAGAAGAAGGUUUCAAGGAGACAAUCAAGUUCUGGGCUUGAUUGAAGAAGAUGAGAGUAACCGACGGUGAACGCAAUCGCCAACGACGGCGCUAGAUUUUGGGAGGAUAUUUUGCGGUGUGAAGAAAAAACAA